RNAcentral lists this ribosomal RNA (523 nucleotides) under uncultured bacterium. Its description in RNAcentral is "bacterial SSU rRNA". It matches the Rfam family "Bacterial small subunit ribosomal RNA", at positions 986 to 1509 of the family's 1533-position model. The record is from RNAcentral.
AUCCAGAGAACUUUCCAGAGAUGGAUUGGUGCCUUCGGGAACUCUGAGACAGGUGCUGCAUGGCUGUCGUCAGCUCGUGUUGUGAAAUGUUGGGUUAAGUCCCGCAACGAGCGCAACCCUUAUCCUUUGUUGCCAGCGGUUAGGCCGGGAACUCAAAGGAGACUGCCAGUGAUAAACUGGAGGAAGGUGGGGAUGACGUCAAGUCAUCAUGGCCCUUACGAGUAGGGCUACACACGUGCUACAAUGGCGCAUACAAAGAGAAGCGACCUCGCGAGAGCAAGCGGACCUCAUAAAGUGCGUCGUAGUCCGGAUUGGAGUCUGCAACUCGACUCCAUGAAGUCGGAAUCGCUAGUAAUCGUGGAUCAGAAUGCCACGGUGAAUACGUUCCCGGGCCUUGUACACACCGCCCGUCACACCAUGGGAGUGGGUUGCAAAAGAAGUAGGUAGCUUAACCUUCGGGAGGGCGUUUACCACUUUGUGAUUCAUGACUGGGGUGAAGUCGUAACAAGGUAAGCGUAGUGCU